This 575-nucleotide ribosomal RNA is filed under the name uncultured bacterium. RNAcentral's name for it is "partial 16S ribosomal RNA". It matches the Rfam family "Bacterial small subunit ribosomal RNA", at positions 355 to 922 of the family's 1533-position model. The record is from RNAcentral.
UGGGGAAUUUUGGACAAUGGGCGAAAGCCUGAUCCAGCAAUGCCGCGUGUGUGAAGGAGGCCUUCGGGUUGUAAAGCACUUUUGUCCGGAAAGAAAUCCUUGGCUCUAAUACAGUCGGGGGAUGACGGUACCGGAAGAAUAAGCACCGGCUAACUACGUGCCAGCAGCCGCGGUAAUACGUAGGGUGCAAGCGUUAAUCGGAAUUACUGGGCGUAAAGCGUGCGCAGGCGGUUUGCUAAGACCGAUGUGAAAUCCCCGGGCUCAACCUGGGAACUGCAUUGGUGACUGGCAGGCUAGAGUAUGGCAGAGGGGGGUAGAAUUCCACGUGUAGCAGUGAAAUGCGUAGAGAUGUGGAGGAAUACCGAUGGCGAAGGCAGCCCCCUGGGCCAAAUACUGACGCUCAUGCACGAAAGCGUGGGGAGCAAACAGGAUUAGAUACCCUGGUAGUCCACGCCCUAAACGAUGUCAACUAGUUGUUGGGGAUUCAUUUCCUUAGUAACGUAGCUAACGCGUGAAGUUGACCGCCUGGGGAGUACGGUCGCAAGAUUAAAACUCAAAGGAAUUGACGGGUCAUA